RNAcentral lists this ribosomal RNA (506 nucleotides) under uncultured bacterium. RNAcentral's name for it is "partial 16S ribosomal RNA". It matches the Rfam family "Bacterial small subunit ribosomal RNA", at positions 29 to 523 of the family's 1533-position model. The record is from RNAcentral.
AGUGAACGCUGGCGGUAGGCCUAACACAUGCAAGUCGAACGGCAGCACAGGAGAGCUUGCUCUCUGGGUGGCGAGUGGCGGACGGGUGAGGAAUACAUCGGAAUCUACUCUGUCGGGGGGGAUAACGUAGGGAAACUUACGCUAAUACCGCAUACGACCUACGGGUGAAAGCAGGGGACCUGCGGGCCUUGCGCGAUUGAAUGAGCCGAUGUCGGAUUAGCUAGUUGGCGGGGUAAAGGCCCACCAAGGCGACGAUCCGUAGCUGGUCUGAGAGGAUGAUCAGCCACACUGGAACUGAGACACGGUCCAGACUCCUACGGGAGGCAGCAGUGGGGAAUAUUGGACAAUGGGCGCAAGCCUGAUCCAGCCACACCGCGUGGGUGAAGAAGGCCUUCGGGUUGUAAAGCCCUUUUGUUGGGAAAGAAAUCCAGCUGGCUAAUACCCGGUUGGGAUGACGGUACCCAAAGAAUAAGCACCGGCUAACUUCGUGCCAGCCGCCGCCGUAA